Molecule: ribosomal RNA, 205 nt
Filed under: Simplicillium calcicola
Lineage: Eukaryota; Fungi; Ascomycota; Sordariomycetes; Hypocreales; Cordycipitaceae
Description: 5.8S ribosomal RNA
Rfam family: 5.8S ribosomal RNA (bases 3-156)
About the family: 5.8S ribosomal RNA (5.8S rRNA) is a component of the large subunit of the eukaryotic ribosome. It is transcribed by RNA polymerase I as part of the 45S precursor that also contains 18S and 28S rRNA.
Source: RNAcentral
AAAACUUUCAACAACGGAUCUCUUGGUUCUGGCAUCGAUGAAGAACGCAGCAAAAUGCGAUAAGUAAUGUGAAUUGCAGAAUUCAGUGAAUCAUCGAAUCUUUGAACGCACAUUGCGCCCGCCAGCAUUCUGGCGGGCAUGCCUGUUCGAGCGUCAUUUCAACCCUCGACUUCUCGUCUUUAUGGCGACGAAGCCGGUGUUGGGG